CUGUCUCAAAAAAAAAAAAAAAAAAAGAAAAAAAAAGUAUACACUGAUAAGAAUUCUUCAAAUUGAAGAUUAUGUUCUUAUGUCUACCCAGUCUUUCCUUUUUCCUUUCCUUCGGACUCCAACUAGAACAGCAAGGAGCAGAGACAAAGACAAACUAGUCCUUAAAAUGCUGUUAUGGAGACAAAAUGACACCAAACAAGUCCACUCUGUGAAUUGGUUAUGCUGUAAAUUAAUCUUUGUCUAAAUGGCCUUUGACAAACCGACUGACUCCUAGCUGACCUCCUUAGACAUACCCAGUAUCCCAAGUGAAGCUGUUUCAUCGUUUUUUGUUUGUUUGUUUUAAAGACAGGAGGUCUUUCUGUGUUGCCCAGGAUGGACUCCAAUUUCCUGGCUCAAGCGAUCCUCCUGCCUCCGCCUCCCAAGUAGCUGGGACUACAGGUGCUUGCCUGGCUUGCUUCACCAUUUUCAGUAAGAACGAUCAUGAUGCUGCUCACUGAAGUCAGCAGACUUCCUUUGUGGGGUUAAUGACUGCAGUGUGUUUUGAGGAAAAACAAAACAAAACAAAAAAAAACUACUCCAAUAUUUUGAGGAAAUACUUCUUUAAAUACUGGCCUCUGCCCUGACACUCCUUGCCUCCUAAUAUUGGCACCACCUCUGUUUCCUUACAAUAGAGUCUCAGAACAUGGGAUCAAUCUUAGACCCAAAGGAGGAUGCUUCUCAGAAACACUCUCUGUCCUGCCGUACGUCUGUCUAAACUCCUCUAGCAAUUCCGAUGUGAAAAGAAGAUGGAUGGAGAAGCACUGAUUCAGCCAUGGCUGACAUGUCGGAGUUGGAAUGGACAGUGCCCGGACCUCACAGUCUCAGAGAACUGGAGAAGAGUAAAGCUGAAGAGGGCAUCAUCUGGUUACAAAUGACAAGUCCAGGGCUCCAGAACUCAGGCCAUGUAGAGAGGCCACAUGGGAACUGAGGUUCCUAGUCCUCAGCUUCCACUGAGCUCCCAGCCAACAGCCAGCAAUAACUUGCCAGAUGUGUGCACAGGCCAUCCUGGAAGCAGAGGAUCCAGCCCUCAGCCAAGAUGCCCCAGUUGAUUCCAUGUGAACUAGGAAUGAGCCCUCCUGCUGAGCUCUGCCCAAAUUACAGAUCUGUGAGCAAACUAAAUGACAGUUGUAUUAAGCUACACAGAAAUAGAUAACUGGAAUACCA
Molecule: long non-coding RNA, 1203 nt
Filed under: Homo sapiens (human)
Lineage: Eukaryota; Metazoa; Chordata; Mammalia; Primates; Hominidae
Description: HSALNT0407088
Source: RNAcentral